ACCCUCAGCUCAAGUCCUUCUCCCAUCCCAACUCGGACGUUAAAACCGCCCUUUUUAUAUUCCCCUUCCCUUCACUCUGCAUGUUAAAACUCUCUUCCCAUAGAAAUUCAAAAUCUCGAGGAAGGAGCAGAUUUUUGGUGUUCUGAGCUGUGUUUUCAAUGGUUUAUUCUGUAGAGAGAGGAGAAGGAGGAGAAAGAGAGUUGGUUAUGGGGAUGGGAGCAGCAGCAGGUCAGAGAUGGAAUAAUUCGAAGCCACCGCUUCAUAAUUUUGAUCUUCCAUUCUUAAAGUGGGGGAAUCAGAAACAUCUCCGUUGCAUGAAAAUCUCCGAUUCCUCUGCUAGCACUAGCACCACCACCACCGAUGGCCUCCAGAGAAGAAGCAGCCGAUCUCCUCCGUCAAAAUUUCAUUACGAAAUCCGACAAUUCAAGAAACCGAAACAAAGAAACGACAGCGUCGAGGAAGUGAGGGAAAAGCUGAUGUUGGAUUUUAAAACCGCUGCUGAUAAGAUGAAAGAUGCGAUUUUUAGUAGUGGUAAUGAGGAGGCCCCACCUGCUGAUACCACAACGACAGCAACCGAGCAAGAGGUGAGACCAUGGAAUCUGAGAACAAGGAGAGCAGCAUGUAAAUCACCGAUUGCCGUAGCUGGGAAUUCAGUUACAGGUAAAGGAUUCAUAAUUGAUUCGCCGUUGAGAAGUGAAAGCUCGAAAUCUCCAAGGCUGAGGGAAAAUGAAGACGACACCACGCAGCAGGCGAGACCCAAGCUUUCCGUAGCGCUGUCAAAGAAGGAGAUCGAGGAAGAUUUUAUGGCGUUAGUGAGCCAUAGACCACCCAGACGGCCCAAGAAACGUUCCCGAUACGUGCAGAAACAGUUGGAUUCGCUGUUUCCUGGAUUGUGGUUAUCGGAGGUUACUGUUGAUACAUAUAAGGUGCCGGAUCUCCCUGAUAAUGGCAAGAGGUAGCUGUUUAAGCAGUGGACUUUACGACAAGUUCGAAACUUGAAGGCUUUUGUUUGCUGACUACUGUGGUAACUUUGGGACUAACGAGUUAUAUACCAAAGCAGCUCUCAGUAUUUGGCAACCGAAGUUUAGGUCCCCUGAUGUGACAGUGACAAAAUUGAUGGGUAUUGAACGUUGAUCAAGAGCAGCUUUUUAUUUUCUUUUUUGUUGAUCAUUAACAUCGAGUGUAUUCAAAGUAAUACCAGUUUGAAGCACUUGUUAGACAAUUUCUUGGGCCUUAGAAGUUUCAGGGAAAUAUUUGACUGGUGGAUUUCUCGACUGUCUGCAACUGCGAUAUUGGUAGUGCAUGCUGCUAGCUUCUUGAAGAGCUACCGUUUGCAUUUCUUCUACAUUUAUGUGUUACUACAUUGAUCAGUAAAUAGCUAUUUACUUGAACAAGUAGUUUUUGCAUGUUAUAAUUUGAGUAAGUAGUUUGUUUGCUAAUAUUGAAGUCAACUGGCGGUAGAUUUGUUAGGGCACUGGAAAAAUCUUUCUAUUGAUACAAGGAUGGUCUUUCCUAUGAGGAGGGAAUACUUGCAACUUCUCUCUCUUAGAUGCCAAUGGACUUCAAUGCUGCCCAGGUAACUGAUUUUAAAUUUCGUCAGUAGUUUGUACAUGGUUUGGGUGGAAAAUUACGCAGGCUCUCUACUUUCCAGGUUCUUAUUUCUUCCCUUCACUUUCCUGAGUUCUAACUGUCGUCCAAGAUGCCUAAAAAAAAAACCCCCUCCUUUGUAAUUAAAAUUGCAGAAUUAAUUUCAUCACAAGUUUCUCUUAAGAAGUGGAGUCAGGAUUCCUCUUCUUCUUUAUUAUCCCUGAAAACCUUCUGAAAUCCUAUUAAACCACCACUAAUCAGGGACAAGGGAAGAAGCAAAGGAGCUUAUAAGUCACCAUUAAUGCUAUACUGUUCUAAGCGCUGACAAUGAGUUGCUCUCAUUUGUAGUAAGCUGGAAGCACGUUUCUUAAAUCUGCAGUUGCCAUCCAAUUCUGACAAUAGUUUCUGUCAUUCUGGGAUGGUACUCUCUGCAUAAAUGGAAAACCGGGACGAUACUUCCUUGUGUAUAUAUAGUGUUGGGGCAGUGGGACACCAAGCGUGCUUCCUUUCAGUGGGGUUCCAACUUCCAAGUUCAGAUUUCAGACACUUAUUGCUCGACAUUAGUCAAGUUCCUAGAAAUGAGAUGGAAACAUGCAUUACAUUCCUUUUUCAUGCGAUACCUUUCGAAACUUUAUUUUUGCAUAUGGACUUUAAAACAAUAAUAAUUCCAAGGGCUGCUUUGACCCGUAAGUUGAACAUGGAUACGCGGCUUUCUAGCCUACGGUUUUGAAUGAAUCAAUUGGAACCGUUAAAGUUUUGGCCUGGCUUUCUCAGUGUCCAACUUGCCUUCAAGUCUGGCCCUUUAACGUCCAAAUGCAUCGCAUACUCGAAACAGUUCCAUGGCGCACUUGAUGAUGCACCGACGCCUGUCUUUUUGCUGAUUAAUCUUCUCUACUCAUCUCACUCCUCAUCCACAUGCAGAUGCGAACUUAUUUCACCGACUGGACCGAACCCAGAUGGCACGACUAGCUAGCCUCCUUGGGUUAACAGAUGUUUGUUUGUUGUUGGGUGUUGGUUGAAUUACCAUUAGACCACCUUUUGGCAAGCCAGAACAAAUUGAGUGAAAGUUCAGGUCUCUUAUCUUUGCUGCCUCAGCUUGUAAAAAAUGCUUGUGGAUUGUAACUAUGAUGCUAGUUAGGACCAAAAUCCUUGCAAAAGUAAUAAAAAUCAGACCUCAACA
This is an RNA transcript of Ricinus communis (castor bean), 2767 nucleotides long. RefSeq lists it as uncharacterized. The transcript is spliced from 4 exons. The record is from RefSeq and is a predicted model, not a curated record. NCBI's taxonomy places the organism in Eukaryota, Viridiplantae, Streptophyta, Magnoliopsida, Malpighiales, Euphorbiaceae.